AUGUCAUGUUGGGGACAACUUGUGCACAACCAUUUAAAUCUCUCUCAAUAUUCAUAUAGUUUUUCAGAAUCCUUCUGCGUGAUACCACUGAUCUCUCUCCUGAUGCC
Small nucleolar RNA from Manihot esculenta (cassava), 107 nucleotides. NCBI's taxonomy places the organism in Eukaryota, Viridiplantae, Streptophyta, Magnoliopsida, Malpighiales, Euphorbiaceae. The record is from RefSeq and is a predicted model, not a curated record.